This 306-nucleotide unclassified non-coding RNA is filed under the name uncultured fungus. Its description in RNAcentral is "sequence contains ITS1". The stretch from base 1 to 105 matches the Rfam family "5.8S ribosomal RNA", at positions 50 to 154 of the family's 154-position model. Lineage: Eukaryota; Fungi. The record is from RNAcentral.
GAAAUGCGAUAAGUAGUGUGAAUUGCAGAAUUCAGUGAAUCAUCGAAUCUUUGAACGCACAUUGCGCCCUUUGGUAUUCCAAAGGGCAUGCCUGUUCGAGCGUCAUUUGUACCCUCAAGGUUUGAUUGGUGUUGGGCGUCUUGUCUCUAGCUUUGCUGGAGACUCGCCUUAAAGUAAUUGGCAGCCGGCCUACGGGUUUCGGAGCGCAGCACAAGUCGCACUCUCUAUCAGUAAAGGUCUAACAUCCAUUAAGCCUUGUUUUCAACGUUUGAAAUCGGGUCAGGUAGGGAUACCCGCUGAACUUAA